GUCCACGCCGUAAACGAUGAGUGCUGGACGUUGGCGGGUUUACCCGCCGGUGUCGUAGCUAACGCGAUAAGCACUCCGCCUGGGGAGUACGGCCGCAAGGUUGAAACUCAAAGGAAUUGACGGGGCCCGCACAAGCGGUGGAGCAUGUGGUUUAAUUCGACGCAACGCGCAGAACCUUACCAGCCCCUUGACAUGCCGUGCCACGUCCAGAGAUGGGCGGUCCUCUUCGGAGGCGCGGACACAGGUGCUGCAUGGCUGUCGU
RNAcentral lists this ribosomal RNA (262 nucleotides) under uncultured bacterium. Its description in RNAcentral is "partial 16S ribosomal RNA". It matches the Rfam family "Bacterial small subunit ribosomal RNA", at positions 793 to 1055 of the family's 1533-position model. The record is from RNAcentral.